AAGGGCACCACAAGAACGCGUGGAGCAUGUGGCUUAAUUUGACUCAACGCGGGAAAUCUUACCGGGUCCGGACACACUGAGGAUUGACAGGUAAUCAUGUGAAAUGUUUUUUUUUUAAACUUUUUACGUAAAAUAUGCUAGUCCUUUCAUGAUUAUGUGAUAGGUGGUGCAUGGCCGUUCUUAGUUCGUGGAGUGAUCUGUCUGCUUAAUUGCGUUUCGCAUAGGACUUAAACUUAAGUGUGCUACUUUUCUUGUAUCCUUUUUUUAUCUAUUUUUUUGGUAAAAUCUGUAUUUAUGUGUUAUAAAAUUGAUUACCAUUUUUAUGUGUUUUUUCAAUAAGUAUUUAUACUAUUUUCCAUUUUUUUAUUUAAAAUGUUUACAAUUUUGAAAAAUAUGCGCACAUUAGGUCCUGAAAGCAACGAACGUGACCGCAUCCUCUUGUUGCCUUUUACUUAAACAAAUUUUUAUCAAAUAUUGAUAUUCUUGUAAUAUUUAAUAUUUAUUUUAAUUAUAAGGUUUUAACAAAAGAGUGCUUUUUAAAACUAGAGGGACCGCUGCGACUUUUUUAAACCAGAGGAAGGUUGCGGCAAUAACAGGUCUGUGAUGCCCUUAGAUGUUCCGGGCUGCACACGUGCUACAAUGAUUAUUGCAGUGAGCAUCUCAUUUUUAUAACGCUGUAUCACCAAACAACCUUUUUUUUUAAAGUUCUUUGUUUUGGUUGAGCAGUCAAGCCUGCUUCGAAAGUUCGCAGGUAAUCAAUUGGAAGUAAUGAUUUCCCUUAAUUCAAUUUUUUGAUUUUUUGAGCACACAAUAUGCUGCUCCCUUCCCUGGCAGUUAGCUUUUUUGGUCUUUCUGUCUUUCAGUGAGUUGGGAUGUUUUUCAGCAUGUGCUUUUUGUCAAUUCAUGGUGGGGACAGACCAUUGUUAAUUGUUGGUCUCGGUCUUAACUAGGAAUGCCUUGUACGGGUCUUUGGUUCAACAAACCACCCGGAAUACGUCCCUGCCCUUUGUACACACCGCCCGUCGCUCUUACCGAUGGACUUCUCUGUGAGUUUGAGGGACUGGGCAUUAUAACUUUGAUUUUUUUCUUGUUUAUAUAUAAAAUAGCCUACGGAAACUUAAACGAACAGUGUGGUCUAAAGGAAAGAGAAGUCGAACAAGGCAAAGGG
This 1168-nucleotide ribosomal RNA is filed under the name Aschemonella ramuliformis. Its description in RNAcentral is "partial 18S ribosomal RNA". It matches the Rfam family "Eukaryotic small subunit ribosomal RNA", at positions 1160 to 1806 of the family's 1831-position model. The record is from RNAcentral. Lineage: Eukaryota; Foraminifera; Syringamminidae.